RNAcentral lists this ribosomal RNA (468 nucleotides) under uncultured bacterium. Its description in RNAcentral is "partial 16S ribosomal RNA". It matches the Rfam family "Bacterial small subunit ribosomal RNA", at positions 28 to 507 of the family's 1533-position model. The record is from RNAcentral.
GACGAACGCUGGCGGCGUGCCUAACACAUGCAAGUCGAACGGAAAGUCCGUGUCUUUUUGCGGUGCUCGACGGACGAACGGGGGAGUAACACGUAGGUAACCUAUACUUCCCUUUGGGAGGUGUUCAGGAAGCUGGAUCUAUUCCCGCAAAGGAUCUACUGCUGCUGGGUGGGCGUUGGAUGGUUUCGGCGGUUGGGGAUGGACUCGCGGCUUAUGAGCUUGUUGGUGGGGUAGUGGCUUACCAAGGCUUUGACGGGUAGCCGGCCUGAGAGGGGGACCGGCCACACUGGGACUGAGAUACGGCCCAGACUCCUACGGGAGGCAGCAGUGGGGAAUAUUGCACAAUGGGCGGAAGCCUGAUGCAGCAACGCCGCGUGCGGGAUGACGGCCUUCGGGUUGUAAACCGCUGUCGCCUGUGACGAAGCGUGAGUGACGGUAAUGGGUAAAGAAGCACCGGCUAACUACGUG